This 481-nucleotide ribosomal RNA is filed under the name uncultured bacterium. RNAcentral's name for it is "bacterial SSU rRNA". It matches the Rfam family "Bacterial small subunit ribosomal RNA", at positions 28 to 521 of the family's 1533-position model. The record is from RNAcentral.
GACGAACGCUGGCGGCGUGCUUAACACAUGCAAGUCGAACGGUGACCCAGGGCUUGCCCUGGUGAUCAGUGGCGAACGGGUGAGUAACACGUGGGCAACCUGCCCCUGACUUCGGGAUAACUCCUCGAAAGAGGAGCUAAUACCGGAUACGACCACUUCGGACAUCCGAUGGUGGUGGAAAGUUUUUCGGUCAGGGAUGGGCCCGCGGCCUAUCAGCUAGUUGGUGGGGUAAUGGCCUACCAAGGCGACGACGGGUAGCCGGCCUGAGAGGGCGACCGGCCACACUGGGACUGAGACACGGCCCAGACUCCUACGGGAGGCAGCAGUGGGGAAUAUUGCGCAAUGGGCGAAAGCCUGACGCAGCGACGCCGCGUGAGGGAUGAAGGCCUUCGGGUUGUAAACCGUCUUUCAGCAGGGACGAAGCGAAAGUGACGGUACCUGCAGAAGAAGCACCGGCUAACUACGUGCCAGCAGCCGCGGU